This 433-nucleotide ribosomal RNA is filed under the name uncultured bacterium. RNAcentral describes it as "partial 16S ribosomal RNA". It matches the Rfam family "Bacterial small subunit ribosomal RNA", at positions 29 to 507 of the family's 1533-position model. The record is from RNAcentral.
AACGAACGCUGGCGGCAUGCCUAACACAUGCAAGUCGAACGAGACCUUCGGGUCUAGUGGCGCACGGGUGCGUAACGCGUGGGAACCUGCCCUUAGGUUCGGAAUAACUCCCCGAAAGGGGUGCUAAUACCGGAUAAUGUCUUCGGACCAAAGAUUUAUCGCCUUUGGAUGGGCCCGCGUUGGAUUAGCUAGUUGGUAGGGUAAAAGCCUACCAAGGCGACGAUCCAUAGCUGGUCUGAGAGGAUGAUUAGCCACACUGGGACUGCGACACGGCCCAGACUCCUACGGGAGGCAGCAGUGGGGAAUAUUGGACAAUGGGCGCAAGCCUGAUCCAGCAAGGCCGCGUGAGUGAUGAAGGCGUUAGGGUUGUAAAGCUCUGUUACCCGGGAUGAUAAUGACAGUACCGGGAGAAUAAGCUCCGGCUAACUCCGUG